This 820-nucleotide ribosomal RNA is filed under the name uncultured bacterium. RNAcentral's name for it is "bacterial SSU rRNA". It matches the Rfam family "Bacterial small subunit ribosomal RNA", at positions 1 to 804 of the family's 1533-position model. The record is from RNAcentral.
UAGAGUUUGAUCCUGGCUCAGGAUGAACGCUAGCUACAGGCUUAACACAUGCAAGUCGAGGGGCAGCAGGACGGUAGCUUGCCUACUGUCGCUGGGCCACCGGCGGCACGGGUGAGUAACGCGUUAUCCAACCUUCCCCUGAGUAGGGAAUAGCCCGGCGAAAGUUCGGAUUAAUGCCCUAUGCUGUCCGACGAAAGCCUUUGAAUCGGAAGAAAAGAUUAUAUCCCUCAGGGAUGGGGAAGCGUCCUUAUAUAAGUUUGCGGCGGGGUAACCGGCCCCCCUGGCCCAACAUCAGUAAGGGGUUCUGAAAGGAAGGUCCCCCACAUUGGAACUGAGACACGGUCCAAACUCCUACGGGAGGCAGCAGUGAGGAAUAUUGGUCAAUGGGCGAGAGCUUGAACCAAGCCAAGUAGCGUGCAGGAAGACGGCCCUAUAAAAAGUAAACUGCUUUUGGAGGGGAAUAAAGUGGCGUACGUGUACGCCUUUGUAUGUACCCUCAGAAUAAGGACCGAAUAAUUCCGUGCCAGCAGCCGCGGUAAUACGGAAGGUCCGGGCGUUAUCCGGAUUUAUUGGGUUUAAAGGGAGCGCAGGCCGCCGAUUAAGCGUGACGUGAAAUGUCCCGGCUCAACCGGGGAGUUGCGUCGCGAACUGGUUGGCUUGAGUGCGGACGAGGUAUGCGGAAUUCGUGGUGUAGCGGUGAAAUGCUUAGAUAUCAGGAAGAACCCCGAUUGCGAAGGCAGCCUACCAGUCCGUAACUGACGCUAAAGCUCGAAAGUGCGGGUAUCGAACAGGAUUAGAUACCCUGGUAGUCCGCGCGGUA